UUCCGGUUGAUCCCGCCGGACCUGACUGCUAUCGGAUUGAUACUAAGCCAUGCGAGUCUUUGUAGUAAUACAAGGCAGACGGCUCAGUAACGCGUAGUCAACCUACCCUAUGGACGGGGAUAAUCUCGGGAAACUGAGCAUAAUACCCGGCGUACCACCAUUCCUGGAAUGGUUGGUGGUUAAAAUGAUUCGUCGCCGUAGGAUGGGACUGCGACCUAUCAGCUUGUUGGUGAGGUAAAGGCCCACCAAGGCGAUUACAGGUACGGGCUCUGAGAGGAGAAGCCCGGAGAUGGGUACUGAGACACGGACCCAGGCCCUAUGGGGCGCAGCAGGCGAGAAAACUUUGCAAUGUGCGAAAGCACGACAAGGUUAAUCCGAGUGAUUUCUGCUAAAGGAAUCUUUUGCCAGUUCUAAAAAUACUAGUGAAUAAGGGGUGGGCAAGUUCUGGUGUCAGCCGCCGCGGUAAAACCAGCACCUCAAGUGGUCAGGAGGAUUAUUGGGCCUAAAGCAUCCGUAGCCUGCUCUGUAAGUUUUCGGUUAAAUCUAUAUGCUCAACAUAUAGGCUGCCGAAAAUACUGCAGUGCUAGGAAGUGGGAGAGGUAGACGGUACUUGAUAGGAAGGGGUAAAAUCCUUUGAUCUAUCGAUGACCACCUGUGGCGAAGGCGGUCUACCAGAACACGUUCGACGGUGAGGGAUGAAAGCUGGGGGAGCAAACCGGAUUAGAUACCCGGGUAGUCCCAGCUGUAAACGAUGCAGACUCGAUGAUGCAUUGGCAUAUAGCCAGUGCAGUGUCGCAGGGAAGCCGUUAAGUCUGCCGCCUGGGAAGUACGUACGCAAGUAUGAAACUUAAAGGAAUUGGCGGGGGAGCACCACAAGGGGUGAAGCCUGCGGUUCAAUUGGAUUCAACGCCGGG
This 914-nucleotide ribosomal RNA is filed under the name uncultured archaeon. Its description in RNAcentral is "bacterial SSU rRNA". It matches the Rfam family "Archaeal small subunit ribosomal RNA", at positions 1 to 922 of the family's 1478-position model. The record is from RNAcentral.